This 507-nucleotide ribosomal RNA is filed under the name uncultured bacterium. RNAcentral describes it as "partial 16S ribosomal RNA". It matches the Rfam family "Bacterial small subunit ribosomal RNA", at positions 273 to 795 of the family's 1533-position model. The record is from RNAcentral.
CCUACGGGUGGCAGCCGAGCUGAGAGGCUGAUCGGCCACAUUGGUACUGAAACACGGCCCAGACUCCUACGGGAGGCAGCAGUGGGGAAUAUUGGGCAAUGGAGGCAACUCUGACCCAGCAAUGCCGCGUGAGUGAUGAAGGUAAUUUUAUUGUACAGCUCUUUUCUUUGGAACGACUAAAUGACGGUACCAAAGGAAUAAGCCCCGGCUAACUACGUGCCAGCAGCCGCGGUAAUACGGAGGAUUCAAGCUUUAUACGGAUUUAUUGGGUUUAAAGGGUGCGUAGGCGGUCGGAUAAGUUAGAGGUGAAAGCCCGAGGCGCAACUUCGGAAUUGCCUCUGAUACGGUUCGGCUAGAGAGUAGUUGCGGUAGGCGGAAUGUAUGGUGUAGCGGUGAAAUGCUUAGAGAUCAUACAGAACACCGAUUGCGAAGGCAGCUUACCAAGCUACUUCUGACGUUGAGGCACGAAAGCGUGGGGAGCAAACAGGAUUAGAUACCCGAGUAGUC